GCCGGGCGAGGUGGCGGGCGCCUGUAGUCCCAGCUACUCGGGAGGCUGAGGCAGGGGAAUUGCUUGAACUCGGAAGGUGGAGGUUGCAGUGAGCCUAGAUCGCGCCACUGCACUCCAGCCUGGNNNNNNNNNNCCAGGCUGGAGUGCAGUGGCGCGAUCUAGGCUCACUGCAACCUCCACCUUCCGAGUUCAAGCAAUUCCCUUGCCUCAG
RNAcentral lists this signal recognition particle RNA (211 nucleotides) under Chlorocebus sabaeus (green monkey). RNAcentral's name for it is "Metazoan signal recognition particle RNA". It matches the Rfam family "Metazoan signal recognition particle RNA". From Rfam's summary of the family: The signal recognition particle (SRP) is a universally conserved ribonucleoprotein. It is involved in the co-translational targeting of proteins to membranes. Lineage: Eukaryota; Metazoa; Chordata; Mammalia; Primates; Cercopithecidae. The record is from Rfam by way of RNAcentral.